RNAcentral lists this ribosomal RNA (470 nucleotides) under uncultured bacterium. RNAcentral describes it as "bacterial SSU rRNA". It matches the Rfam family "Bacterial small subunit ribosomal RNA", at positions 331 to 793 of the family's 1533-position model. The record is from RNAcentral.
CCCGACUCCUACGGGAGGCAGCAGUGGGGAAUAUUGCACAAUGGGCGCAAGCCUGAUGCAGCCAUGCCGCGUGUAUGAAGAAGGCCUUCGGGUUGUAAAGUACUUUCAGCGGGGAGGAAGGGGUUAAGGUUAAUAACCUUAGCCAUUGACGUUACCCGCAGAAGAAGCACCGGCUAACUCCGUGCCAGCAGCCGCGGGAAUACGGAGGGUGCAAGCGCUAAUCGGAAUUACUGGGCGUAAAGCGCACGCAGGCGGUCGGUCAAGUCGGAUGGGAAAUCCCCGGGCUCAACCGGGGAACUGCAUUCGAAACUGGCAGGCUUGAGUCUCGUAGAGGGGGGUAGAAUUCCAGGUGUAGCGGUGAAAUGCGAAGAGAUCUGGAGGAAUACCGGUGGCGAAGGCGGCCCCCUGGACGAAGACUGACGCUCAGGUGCGAAAGCGUGGGGAGCAAACAGGAUUAGAUACCCCAGUAC